RNAcentral lists this ribosomal RNA (497 nucleotides) under uncultured bacterium. Its description in RNAcentral is "partial 16S ribosomal RNA". It matches the Rfam family "Bacterial small subunit ribosomal RNA", at positions 28 to 507 of the family's 1533-position model. The record is from RNAcentral.
GAUGAACGCUGGCGGCGUGCCUAAUACAUGCAAGUCGAGCGAACGGACGAGAAGCUUGCUUCUCUGAUGUUAGCGGCGGACGGGUGAGUAACACGUGGAUAACCUACCUAUAAGACUGGGAUAACUUCGGGAAACCGGAGCUAAUACCGGAAAAUAUUUUGAACCGCAUGGUUCAAAAGUGAAAGACGGUCUUGCUGGCACUUAUAGAUGGAUCCGCGCUGCAUUAGCUAGUUGGUAAGGUAACGGCUUACCAAGGCAACGAUGCAUAGCCGACCUGAGAGGGUGACCGGCCACACUGGAACUGAGACACGGUCCAGACUCCUACGGGAGGCAGCAGUAGGGAAUCUUCCGCAAUGGGCGAAAGCCUGACGGAGCAACGCCGCGUGAGUGAUGAAGGUCUUCGGAUCGUAAAACUCUGUUAUUAGGGAAGAACAUAUGUGUAAGUAACUGUGCACAUCUUGACGGUACCUAAUCAGAAAGCCACGGCUAACUACGUG